AAACUUUCAACAACGGAUCUCUUGGUUCUGGCUAGUCGAUCGAAGAACGCAGCCGGAAACUGCCGAUAGAGAAAAUGGUGAAUUGCAGGAAUUCACGGUGGAACUCACUCGAAGUCUUCUGAGACGCCACGACUCGGCGCCCGCCGACGCGAGUUCUGGCGGGU
Molecule: ribosomal RNA, 164 nt
Filed under: Akanthomyces lecanii
Lineage: Eukaryota; Fungi; Ascomycota; Sordariomycetes; Hypocreales; Cordycipitaceae
Description: 5.8S ribosomal RNA
Source: RNAcentral